UCCGGAACAUAACUUAAGUUCCAUGUGGCCCACAGUGUUCAACCUUCAUAGGAUGAUUGUCCAUAUUGGGUAGAAUACCCCUAUUGAUUUUGGGGUCACAAGGUCAAAUUUUCCAGAGCAUAACUUAAGUUCCAUUUGGCCCACAAUAUUCAAACUUUAUAGGAGGAUUGCUAUUUGAAGGAGGUUAUACUUUAUUUAAUUUAUGUAAUGUCUUACUAAAAAAACAA
This is a long non-coding RNA of Ruditapes philippinarum (Manila clam), 227 nucleotides long. RefSeq lists it as uncharacterized. NCBI's taxonomy places the organism in Eukaryota, Metazoa, Mollusca, Bivalvia, Venerida, Veneridae. The transcript is spliced from 2 exons. The record is from RefSeq and is a predicted model, not a curated record.